RNAcentral lists this ribosomal RNA (462 nucleotides) under uncultured Bacteroidota bacterium. RNAcentral's name for it is "bacterial SSU rRNA". It matches the Rfam family "Bacterial small subunit ribosomal RNA", at positions 40 to 495 of the family's 1533-position model. Lineage: Bacteria; Pseudomonadati; Bacteroidota. The record is from RNAcentral.
CGGCAGGCUUAACACAUGCAAGUCGAGGGGUAACAUAGAAAAGCUUGCUUUUCUGAUGACGACCGGCGCACGGGUGCGUAACGCGUAUACAAUCUGCCUUAUACUGGGGUAUAGCCUUUAGAAAUGAAGAUUAAUCCCCCAUAGUCUCUUUUAAUGGCAUCAUUACAAGAGUAAAGGUUACGGUAUAAGAUGAGUAUGCGUUCUAUUAGUUUGUUGGUGAGGUAACGGCUCACCAAGACUGCGAUAGAUAGGGGCCCUGAGAGGGGGAUCCCCCACACUGGUACUGAGACACGGACCAGACUCCUACGGGAGGCAGCAGUGAGGAAUAUUGGACAAUGGAGGCAACUCUGAUCCAGCCAUGCCGCGUGCAGGAAGACUGCCCUAUGGGUUGUAAACUGCUUUUAUACAGGAAGAAACCUUGGUACGUGUACCAAGCUGACGGUACUGUAAGAAUAAGGAUCG